UGAAUAAAAUCCGUUGAGGUGUGUUCUGUUAAGAAUGUAUAAGAGUCAAAAUAGAGCUCGUUCGCCCUUAGAAUUCCCAAAUAGCCAGUAGUAUUCUU
Octopus sinensis (East Asian common octopus) is the source of this 98-nucleotide long non-coding RNA. RefSeq lists it as uncharacterized. NCBI's taxonomy places the organism in Eukaryota, Metazoa, Mollusca, Cephalopoda, Octopoda, Octopodidae. The record is from RefSeq and is a predicted model, not a curated record. The transcript has 3 exons.